GACAGGUGUGCCCUGCAGCUACCCGAGCCCACUGCGUCGAAUGAGGCUCAAACAGUCAAAAGCUGAGGGUCUCUUCCAGCAGCCUCUGCAAAGACUUAGACAUGUCCACCUCAUGAAUCUGCAGAGGCAGGCUGGCAAGUGGUCACGAACAGGCCAUCUCCCAAGAUCUCCUGUGCUUUCUCUUAUGCUGCUGCCUAGGCCACAUGUCCCGGGAGGAGCUUUCCUCAGGCUGAGUCAGCACUUAGGCUGCCAGCUGUGGCAGAGGCCAGAUGGAAGGGGCGUGGACCGGAAAAAUAAUGAAGGCAUAUGCCCUCCAGUUUUUCUUGUUCUAUUUUGAGUUGCUUUAGGGUUUAAAUUUUUUUUAAGCUGUUUUAUCUCUGAUUUCUUUCUUUUUUCUUUUUUUUUUAAAGGAAUUGUGAAAAGAGAAAGUGUUGGGCAAAAAGACAAGGAACUGAAAAAAAAUCUCGAAGUCAAUUCGUGCAACAUUUGCAAAGAAGGCUCAAGGUCACUGUGGAGCUGGCCCCUGGUGACCAUAUGACAGCUUAGGGACAGAGAGUAGCAAGCACCCACAAACAAUUGGGAGAAGGUGCAAAUGGAUCACAGCAUGCAGAUUCCCAGGAACUUUCAAAAUCUAUCUCAGAAGGUGGAAAGGAAAACAACGACUAAGAAAAUAUAUGGAGAACAAAAAUGACCGACGUUAAAGGGAGUGGAUAUUCUAACAUAAAAUUAACAAGUGGUGAAAUUCUGGCCAAAGACAAGAGGAUGAAAUGACAGCAGACUUCUCACGAGUGCAGAUGACUGAAGGGAUGUGAGUUAAGACUGUGAUCUGUUUGCCAUACGCAUGCAAGUGGGACCAGGAACCGUGGAAGUUCUACGUAAGUUGUACAUCUGAAGGAGCCAUUUCACUUCUGGGUGCCACUGUUGCAAGCUGACAGGCACACUGGAUAAUAAUGAGGUGGGACACUCAGAGCUGAUCCACACUGUGACACAGAAGUCGUUAAUGAAGUGGAGAUGUUUAGCUAGGAAUGUCCUUCAAGACAUAAAGAGCUAUCUUCAAACACUUGACAGUGGUCACGAGAAUAAAAUUAAACUUCGACAAGAUGACAGAGCUAUCUUCUUAAAAAAAAAAAAUGGAAACAAUCUGAGUUACAUUCAGGCCUCUUGAUACUAAAGCCUUCUGAAGCACUAGAAGCAUCAAAGCGUUCCCCUAUGGAACCGUAAGUAUAGCUUCAUUUGGUCUUACCUUUAAGGAGACUUGAUUUAUUACUGCUACCUUCAGUCUUCUCUUUCUGAAACUAUCCCAAGAGUCUACCUCAAUAGGUCUGUGGUCUGCCCUUAAGAAUGGAAUGGUUAUCAGCUUCUGAGAUGGGAUGGAGACAUUUGAAUUAAAUAUCUGCCUCAACCAAAAGGAAGCAGGACACGGCACAUGUCCUAUUUUUCCAUAUGAUAUAUGGAUGGAAAGAAAGAGGGAUUUAGUCCUGUACAGGCAAUAUCUCCAUUUGCUGGAUCCAAUGGUACUUAUACUUCUAGCACUCAGGAGACUAAUGCAAGAAGAUUCCAAGUUCCAAUCUAGCUUGGGCUCACAACAAGACAUUGUCUCAAACAAACAAAAACACAGAAAAGAAAAAAAAACAACAAUAAAACAUUUGGAGACCACAGUGGUUUGAAUGAGAAUGGGCCCCCAUUGGCUCCUAUGUUUGAUACUUAGACCCCAGUUGAUUGAACUGUUUGGGAAGGAUUAGGAGGAGUGACCUUGUUGGAAGUGGUACGUUACUUGGGGUGGAUCUUGAGGUUUGGGAAGACUGGUGCCAUUCCCAGUGGGCUCUCUGCUCCCUGCUUGUCAUUCAAAUUAUUCCAGCCUUCACUCAGCCCUCAUGGAAUGAUACGCCCAAUUAAGCUUUCCUUUAUAAGUUGUCUUGGUCAUGGUGUUCUACCACAGAAAUAUUAAAGUAACUAAUGCAGAGACUGAC
Molecule: long non-coding RNA, 1970 nt
Organism: Rattus norvegicus (Norway rat)
Lineage: Eukaryota; Metazoa; Chordata; Mammalia; Rodentia; Muridae
Source: RefSeq, a predicted model, not a curated record